This 382-nucleotide ribosomal RNA is filed under the name uncultured Smithella sp. RNAcentral describes it as "bacterial SSU rRNA". It matches the Rfam family "Bacterial small subunit ribosomal RNA", at positions 996 to 1382 of the family's 1533-position model. Lineage: Bacteria; Pseudomonadati; Thermodesulfobacteriota; Syntrophia; Syntrophales; Smithellaceae. The record is from RNAcentral.
AUUUCUAGAGAUAGAAGUUACUUCGGUACAUCGGUGACAGGUGGUGCAUGGUUGUCGUCAGCUCGUGUCGUGAGAUGUUGGGUUAAGUCCCGCAACGAGCGCAACCCCUAUCUUUAGUUGCCAUCAUCGAGUUGGGCACUCUAAAGAGACUGCCGGUGUCAAGCCGGAGGAAGGUGGGAUGACGUCAAGUCCUCAUGGCCUUUAUGCCCAGGGCUACACACGUGCUACAAUGGGUGGUACAAAGAGAUGCCAACUCGCGAGAGCGCGCCAAUCUCAGAAAGCCAUCCUCAGUUCGGAUUGGAGUCUGCAACUCGACUCCAUGAAGUUGGAAUCGCUAGUAAUCGCGGAUCAGCACGCCGCGGUGAAUACGUUCCCGGGCCUU